Molecule: long non-coding RNA, 1473 nt
Filed under: Fukomys damarensis (Damara mole-rat)
Lineage: Eukaryota; Metazoa; Chordata; Mammalia; Rodentia; Bathyergidae
Description: lncRNA (ENSFDAG00000030150.1)
Source: RNAcentral
UCACUGCUUUUUAUUUGAGGAUCCACUCUUCCCUUCCUCUUGGUGUCUAGGGUAGGGAGGGCACAUGGCCCUCAACUAAGCCAAUCAAGGAUGUCUGGCAGACCGUAUUGAUCACAUGAUGCAGGCCUGUCCAAUCUGGUGACUCAUGGCCUGGCCUCAGCCUCAGACUUCCUGCCACCAGGAGAGUGUGCAGAUUCCUGGUAAUCCAGAGCGCCUGCGCAGAGCUUUAGCAGGAAGUUAUUGGUCAACUGCAGCAACGAGGGAUCUUGACGUCUUUCACAGAGCCUGAAGCUAAUCUACUGUUCUUCGUGGGCUUUUCACGGCUAAUAAAGUUUCAUUUUGUUGAUGAAACAGUCCUGAUUCACCUCCUUCCGGAGCAGCUGUGAGGCUGGGACCUGAAGGCAGCUGCACCAGCCCUCUGCGCACAUCUACCACAUCUCAAAGCAGGGCUCAGAUCCCAGGAGGCAAAGCUGUGUGAUGAACUUUCAGGGCCCUGCCCUGUACCAGCGUCACCAGCCCUCCAAGCCUCCCCCAGACAGCUGAUGUCCUGAUUGUCCCACACCUCACCACCAAGCUCCCCAGAAGAAGUUCCUGCCUACUUCACAGCCAGGGACCAUUUUGUCCUCACCCCAGACUGACCGGAGGUUGGAGCACGGUUCUGCCCUGCGGCUCCACUGAUCGUGAGGGAAACAAGGCGGUGAGACACCUGGCAUUUUCCGAGGAAUGCUGGGAUUACAGUCAUGUGCCACCUCGCUCUGCUGGAUCACCUUUUUUGAGCCAUUCUUCAUUCCUGUGGAGUCUAGUCUCUUGGCUUCUGACACAUUGUCUCUGGAUCCUGCACUGCCCCUGGGAUCUGACUGUAGCAUCUGGAGUUAUUUUUCCUUUGAACCAAACAUAAAAAAAUUGUGGACUAAAUAAUUAAUUUAUGGAUUGUGCAUGUCUUCCUUACUCAUCUAAAUAUUACUGAGUCAUCAACAGCCAUACAUAUGUAAUAGCAAUUAAAUGCAGUCAUCUUUGAUAUUUUGCUGAUUGUAUAUGGAAACCCAGCCUCUCUGUACUGUAUUUUUUAUCAUGUCAUUACUAAGACAUAUUUACUAAGACAGGAGAAAUACUUUAACAGUCUGUUAGUUUGAUUUGUAAUAUUUAAAACACCUAGGUGUAUAGUGUGUAAACCCUUAUUUGUAAUUUCACUGCUAGCUUGGUAGAAUUAUGGAUGGCACUGAACAAUUCCUUUUUUUUUUUUUUUUUUUUUUUUUUUUUUUUUAAUGAAACAGGAUCUCACAUUGUAGCCCAGGCUGGCCUCAAACGCAUGGCAAUGAGGCUCCUCAGGCUCCCAUGCUGGGAUUCCAGGUGAGCACCAUGCUUGGCUGGCACUGAACAAUUCUUAAGUUUCUAGAAAGAAUUCAAUGAUUUUAUAAAUAUUUAUCAUAAAUUCCUUCUUCAAAAACAAAAAUUUCAUUUACAAAAACUGCA